This 484-nucleotide ribosomal RNA is filed under the name uncultured bacterium. RNAcentral's name for it is "partial 16S ribosomal RNA". It matches the Rfam family "Bacterial small subunit ribosomal RNA", at positions 30 to 507 of the family's 1533-position model. The record is from RNAcentral.
AUUGAACGCUGGCGGCAGGCCUAACACAUGCAAGUCGAGCGGAUGAAGGGAGCUUGCUCCUGGAUUCAGCGGCGGACGGGUGAGUAAUGCCUAGGAAUCUGCCUGGUAGUGGGGGAUAACGUCCGGAAACGGGCGCUAAUACCGCAUACGUCCUGAGGGAGAAAGUGGGGGAUCUUCGGACCUCACGCUAUCAGAUGAGCCUAGGUCGGAUUAGCUAGUUGGUGGGGUAAAGGCCUACCAAGGCGACGAUCCGUAACUGGUCUGAGAGGAUGAUCAGUCACACUGGAAAUGGGAAACGGUCCAGACUCCUAAGGGAGGCAGCAGUGGGGAAUAUUGGGCCAUGGGCGAAAGCCUGAUCCAGCCAUGCCGCGUGUGUGAAGAAGGUCUUCGGAUUGUAAAGCACUUUAAGUUGGGAGGAAGGGCAGUAAGUUAAUACCUUGCUGUUUUGACGUUACCAACAGAAUAAGCACCGGCUAACUUCGUG